Molecule: ribosomal RNA, 253 nt
Filed under: uncultured bacterium
Lineage: Bacteria
Description: partial 16S ribosomal RNA
Rfam family: Bacterial small subunit ribosomal RNA
Source: RNAcentral
UACGGAGGGGGCUAGCGUUGUUCGGAAUUACUGGGCGUAAAGCGCACGUAGGCGGCUUUGCAAGUUAGAGGUGAAAGCCCGGAGCUCAACUCCGGAAUUGCCUUUAAAACUGCAUCGCUAGAAUUGUGGAGAGGUAAGUGGAAUUCCGAGUGUAGAGGUGAAAUUCGUAGAUAUUCGGAAGAACACCAGUGGCGAAGGCGACUUACUGGACGCAUAUUGACGCUGAGGUGCGAAAGCGUGGGGAGCAAACAGG